Molecule: long non-coding RNA, 1535 nt
Filed under: Mus musculus (house mouse)
Lineage: Eukaryota; Metazoa; Chordata; Mammalia; Rodentia; Muridae
Description: RIKEN cDNA 4933433G19 gene
Source: RNAcentral
GAGGGAGGUUCUAAUAUAGUUUCACGGGAUGAUGAUAACAGGACAAUAUGACUGGAAGCAGAAAUGAAAAGAGAAAAUUACCGGAGUGAACAGAGGCCAGAGCUUAUCUUAGGAGACCUGAUAGAGUAUGAAGCAGGUUGGAUAUAUAGCCUAGUUGGGGAGCCAGAGGGUGGGGGUGGGGCUGGUUCUACCCUCAGUGCAGAAAAAAAAGCAAAGGUCUGUGCAAUCAUAGGGUUUAUAGCAGGAAGGACCAUUAAGCUGAGCUCUUUCCCCAGAGAGUGGAAACUCAUUCUCAUUUUCCCUUCUUGUUUUUCAUCUUUUGAAAGCCUUACCUUUAGCACUUCCCCCCACCCCCCGUCCUUAGCAUUUUCUUGUAUUUAUUUAGUGGAUUUGUGUGUGUAUGUUUGUGUGUGUGUUUACUCAUGCCAUACAUGGCAUGGAAUAUGUUGGGAGGGGGGAGUCAGAUAACAACUGUGGGAAUUGGUUCGGUCCUUCUACCAUGUUUAUCUUGAGGACUUAACUCAGAUAGUUUGGGCUCAGUGGUGAGUGCCCUUACCUGCUGAGUCAACUUGCUGGACCUUCUUUGCACUUUCUAAACACUUCAGGUCACCUCAUGUACUGCCACCCACAAUGCUUUAAUUGGAAGGUAUGUCCGCAACUCUUUUGAUGGUCACUGCUCAUUGUCAAUCUGACCAGAUUUAGAAUCAUCAUGGAAAUACACCUCUAGAUAUGUCUAUGAGAUCGUUUCUAGAAAGGCUUAACUGAAGAAGGAAGCCUCGCCUUAAAUGAGGGUAGGACCAUUAAACAAGCAGGGUCCCAGACUGAAUAAAAAGGAGAAAGUAAACUGAGUACCAGCAUUAAUUUCUCUCUGCUUCUCGAGGGCACAAUAUGACUAGUCAAUAGGUUUUCUUGUCAUGGUGUACUGUAUCCUCAAAUACUGAGUCAAAAUUAUCCCCUCCCUUACAUUGCUUACCAGGAUUUUGGUCACAGCAAGAAUAAAGUACCUGAGUACACUUAUCUGUAUAUUCUUCUGUCUUUCUGCACAUUACCUUCAAAGUUUGGAACCCCUGAUGACAGAAGCCCUACGGGAACAGAUCUGGGCCCUGGAGAUGAGAACUGUGCAGGAUGAGGAAGAGGGAAAGGCAUCUGACUGAACAGACAGUGACUCCCAAUGCACAAGGAACAGACGGUCAUCCUUACAACGAACCAGAAGCUGCACAACAGGCUGAACAUUUGGGAGUGACUUUCCUUGGGUGAGUGAAAAUGUGUGAUUCUGUUUCAUCUCCUCAGCGGUCUUUUAAUACACCCUAAUCCUCUGGUUCCUAUCAGCACAAGGAACUGGGAGUAAUGGCCUCUCCCUGAGGCUAGAUGAGUGAUUUGUCUUUGCUUUAUUACCCAAGAAAUUAGUGCAGAUUAGUCAGAUAGUACAGACACUCAUACGUGGAUGUUGCACACGAGAGUGGCUUUCUCUGGGAAACAUGUUUAAAAACCAACCCAAACCAACCAACCAACCAAACAAACAAACAAAAACAAAA